Molecule: long non-coding RNA, 384 nt
Organism: Lineus longissimus
Lineage: Eukaryota; Metazoa; Nemertea; Pilidiophora; Heteronemertea; Lineidae
Exons: 2
Source: RefSeq, a predicted model, not a curated record
UAUUCGAACUCAUUUGAAGAACUUCCUUUUAUUCUCAGAGAAAUCACAAGUCCUAGGUUACCACGACCAUCAUUACAACAAGAUGAAGACCGUCAUGUUGGUUCUGAUUGUAGCCUUGAUAGCGUGUAUCACACUGACUGAAGGCCGCGACUCCGAGACAGAGGAGAGAUUGAGAAUAAAACGCGGGGGCUGCACACCGCCGGGUGGCGACUGUAAAGAAAAUGAAGAUUGUAAAUCAAACUGUUGCGUCUACGGCAGAUGUUGUUGGAGGGGUCGCUAGCUAGGAUGACAGCGUUCAAAUAGGAGCACGAUGUGCUGCUCGGUCAUCCCCCAUCAUUGAUGUAUCAGAGAAAAUGCAAUAAAAGUGACGAAUCUAGACCUCAA